Molecule: ribosomal RNA, 558 nt
Filed under: Schwanniomyces occidentalis
Lineage: Eukaryota; Fungi; Ascomycota; Pichiomycetes; Serinales; Debaryomycetaceae
Description: eukaryotic LSU rRNA
Rfam family: Eukaryotic large subunit ribosomal RNA
Source: RNAcentral
CAACAGGGAUUGCCUUAGUAACGGCGAGUGAAGCGGCAAAAGCUCAAAUUUGAAAUCUGGCACCUUCGGUGUCCGAGUUGUAAUUUGAAGAAGGUAACUUUGGGAUUGGCUCUUGUCUAAGUUCCUUGGAACAGGACGUCACAGAGGGUGAGAAUCCCGUGCGAUGAGAUGACCAAUCCUAUGUAAAGUGCUUUCGAAGAGUCGAGUUGUUUGGGAAUGCAGCUCUAAGUGGGUGGUAAAUUCCAUCUAAAGCUAAAUAUUGGCGAGAGACCGAUAGCGAACAAGUACAGUGAUGGAAAGAUGAAAAGAACUUUGAAAAGAGAGUGAAAAAGUACGUGAAAUUGUUGAAAGGGAAGGGCUUGAGAUCAGACUUGGUAUUUUGCAUUCCUUACCUUCGUGGUGGGGUUCCUUGCAGUUUACUGGGCCAGCAUCGGUUUGGAUGGUGGGAUAAUGACAUUGGAAUGUGGCUCUGCUUCGGUAGAGUGUUAUAGCCAGUGUUGAUACCGCCUGUCUAGACCGAGGACUGCGUCUUUGACUAGGAUGCUGGCAUAAUGAUCU